This is a non-coding RNA of Crocodylus porosus (Australian saltwater crocodile), 76 nucleotides long. The record is from Ensembl. Lineage: Eukaryota; Metazoa; Chordata; Crocodylia; Crocodylidae.
AGCUGCCAUAAUGGCCAUAGCAGAAGCGUUCACAAUGUGGCCUCUGUCAGAUUCCAGUGAAUCUGAGAAUUCUGCU